UCAGUGUAGGGUCAGUGUUGGGUCAGUGUUGGGUCAGUGUUGGGUUAGUGUUGGGUCAGUGUAGGGUCAGUGUAGGGUCAGUGUUGGGUCAGUGUUGGGUUAGUGUUGGGUCAGUGUAGGGUCAGUGUUGGGUCAGUGUUGGGUCAGUGUUGGGUCAGUGUUGGGUCAGUGUUGGGUCAGUGUUGGGUUAGUGUUGGGUCAGUGUUGGGUCAGUGUAGGGUCAGUGUUGGGUCAGUGCUGGGUUAGUGCUGGGUUAGUGCUGGGUUAGUGCUGGGUUAGUGCUGGGUUAGUGUGUAGUUAGUGUUGGGUUAGUGUUGGGUCAGUGUUGGGUCAGUGUGGGGUCAGUGUUGGGUCAGUGUUGGGUUAGUGUUGGGUUAGUGUGUGGUUAGAGUUGGGUUAGUG
Oncorhynchus tshawytscha (Chinook salmon) is the source of this 402-nucleotide long non-coding RNA. The record is from Ensembl. Lineage: Eukaryota; Metazoa; Chordata; Actinopteri; Salmoniformes; Salmonidae.